Molecule: long non-coding RNA, 207 nt
Filed under: Mytilus galloprovincialis (Mediterranean mussel)
Lineage: Eukaryota; Metazoa; Mollusca; Bivalvia; Mytilida; Mytilidae
Source: RNAcentral
GAAAUUUAUUACAGAAAUCGCUAACAUUUUACAAUAAUUUAGUUUAAGUACAGCUUAUAUGGAAAUUAUAUUAAAAAAGAUAGGUCACCGAUGAGUUGAAAAAGAUAUUUCAAUUUUAGAGCCAAAAAAUGGUAUUUUUCCACCAAAGGGAGAUAAUUUGGAACUUUUUCAAUGAUGUAUACAUUUUGAAAGUCAUCUGGGGUCAAC